Molecule: long non-coding RNA, 998 nt
Organism: Paramormyrops kingsleyae
Lineage: Eukaryota; Metazoa; Chordata; Actinopteri; Osteoglossiformes; Mormyridae
Source: RefSeq, a predicted model, not a curated record
CCUCACUACUUGAGUGAAGCCAAUGACGUCCCGUCAGGCAGGCGGGCUCUGGCACACGCAUAGUAAAUAUUUUCCACGAUUAAAUCCCCCGAUCGUCGGGAGCACGGUGAGAUCCAUAUGCUUUGCGGUUGGAUGAGCUAGCUGGACGAGAACCUCUCUCCUGGAAGAGAAGCGGCUUAGAACCAUCCAACGUCAAGCCCUCAAAACUAUUGUGAAGGAAAACCUUUGUAAAAUGUGGGAUUAUGGAUUAGCCAAAGCUGCUAAUGAGAGGGGCUCCAAAGUAAACAACAGCCACAAGAACGUGGCGGCAGACAUGUGAUGAGGAUGAACCGGAGGAUAACUAAAUCAGGGGAACCAAGGGAACACGUCUUGGAAGCAUCAGAGAUCAGAGGAACACAGACAAAAACAAAGAGGCAAACAACUGAAUAUGAAAGACAUUGACUGGAACACAAGAAAAGGUGAACGACAAAGUGAGUAUCAUUGUUAAUGCUACUAGGUUAUGCCGGCCUACAAGCAACCACAGCUGCCUCACUAACUCCAAAGACUUCAAGGAUAACAAUGAGGUUGUACAUGUACAACUUUUGUCAACCUGGACCUGUCUUGGGGCAGUCGCCCCCUGCUGGUUGGGGGGAGAACCGUAACAUAUGUACAUCAUAUUUGGACAGCAGGAUUUCUAUGCAUGUUUUGCUUCUUACCUUGCACAGAACAUGGACGUUCUUUGAUUUUAAUGUUUCUUCUAAGUAGCUUCAUGUCAAGGGACUGGGAUCAACCUGACUUUUCUCUCUUAUUAAUGUCGACCGGAAAGAGCUAAUUUUAUUGUCAGUUCCAUCCAAAUGUAGCUGCUGAAAGCAUAUUAAGACAGAACCCCAUGUUAUACUCUUCUGCUUUUAUUGGUUUAAAUAGACUAUUGUGUGCUUGCCAUAUAUCGUAAUGGCCCUGAUGGCACAGCUAAACACACGGCCUGCAGAGGAAAUAAAGUUCGACACUCUAUUAUGUUA